GGUUAGUAAAAUGACUUUUUAUUUCUUGAAGCAAGAGAACAGCACAUCUUUUAAUUUCAGUAAUUAAUAUAAAACUGAAACACACCAAAUAUGGAUAUUUACAUUUCCUUUUUCUUUCCCAGACUAGAGGUAUAGCUUAAUAUUUAUACCACACAUACGAAAAGUGGGUUUUAACAUUUCAAUAUUUUUUCUGUAAACAUUAGUUCCUUAACCACAUGUCAUCUUUUUAAAUUUGUUCUGGGAAACCAUGUGUCUCAAGAUUUUUCUCCUUUUUUAACCCCCUCCAGAAGUAUUAGUUAGAAUUCCAUUUUUUUUUAAACUUCCAGUUUGACGGUAGAGCUGCAAUCUGACAUUCUACGUAUAUUUCUCUCUAUCUUCCCACCUCUUCAUGUAAAGAGCUAUUGCCACAGACCCAAGUUAAAAUGAAUGAGAUUCAUUCCUUAUCCCAAAGUGUCUUCCCGAUGAAUUAAAGAUUUAAACGUAAAAAACAAAACUGUAAAAAUACUGAAAUAAUACACGAACAAAUAUUUAGAGCAUAAUUUAAAACCCAGAAACCAUAAAGAAAGGAGUGUGUAAACACUAAGACUAAAUAUUUAAAACUUGCACAGAGAAAAACUCUCCGUUAACAACAUCAAAAGGUAAACAGAAACUGGAAUCAAGAAACAAUCAAAGGAGAGACAAAGGGCUAUUCUAAGACACUAAGAGAAGUUAAUAAAAAACAGAGGAACAGCCAAGUAGAAAAAAACUACAAAUGACACAACUAGGUAGUUUCUUUAAGAAGAAACAUAAACUACCAGUAAGCAUGACAAGAUUUCAACUUACUAAUAAAAAACUGCAAAACAAACAACAAAAGAAUUUUUUUUCUCAUUGAGUUAGGAGAGUCUUAAAAAAAUUGACGAUACCCAACGUUGGCCAGUGAGUGGAGCCCGGAGCGUAACUGUGAGACAGCCUUAAAGAUGGAGGCCACGCCCAGGGAUGAUGGGAUGGAAAGACAGAAGCAGCCCCUGCAGCUGCUGCACUAACCCAGGACUGCUGACCUCUGGGCCUGUUACAAAGAAAAGCAAAACCUUACUUGCUUAAGCCACUCCAUUGCAAUACAUGCUGCCUAACACGGUCCUACUCUUACAAGAAUUAAAGGGGUUUCCCAAAGAUGGGCAGCGGCAAUGCUCAGAAACAUAUGUGGUAGCACAGCAGAAAGGAGAAGGCUGACAUUUGGAGCCAGGCCUGAGUUCACAUCCUGGCCUUGCUACUUGUUCCUGCAGACGUUAAACAGUGACUUUGAAGCUGUUUACUCAUAUGUAAAAUGCAGAUGGUAACAAAUUAAAUUGUGUGAGGCUUAAGUGGGAUAAUGUGGGAAUGAAUUUACCACAGCUCCUGACACCUAGUUAGGUGCUCAAUAAAUUGAAACCAUUAUUUUUUUUUAAAAGAUCUAGUUUUAAGUUUGCACAGAAGUUCUUUUUAGUGUGGUGAAUAAGAUUAUGUCCGGGGACACUCCAGAAUAAAUACAGGGCAUCUUUAAAAUUUGAAUAUAAUAUCCACAUCUAAAUAUAUUUCUAUGUGGUUGAUAAAAAGAUUCAUCACUGCUUUGCCAAGCAUUAUUAGGUAGUUCACAGGAUUUCCGGAAGAGACAGAGACCCAAGACCAGAUGCUAAGCAGCCAAGAACAAAUCAUGUCUGCAGAAGACCAUGCUAAUGUCACUACAGAGACAUGCUGCUAAAGGCAGAGAUUCUUAAUAAAAGUUGGAGGUGGGAGGAGAGAGUAUUUUAAGGAUGCUUUUUAGUUUUCAGCGCUCAGGCCCCCGUCAGCAUGAAGCCCCUCUCCUGGGCAGAAUCCCCGUGAGAGGAUUCAGUUUCACGCUCUCAUCUAUUCUUUCACUCAACAAAUACUUAUUGGCUCCUGGUCAGAUGCCCUGCCAGGGGCUAGAGAGCAGCCACAGUCUUGCCCUUACGGAAUCAAUAGGCCGGCAGAGGAAAACGAUAGCAGACAAAUAAUAAUAGAAAUAAUUAGGUAAUUGUAUUUGAUGGAAACACUCUUACAAGAAGCAAAGUUUGCUAGGCGAGCAUAUAACAGAUGGACUUCAUAUAUUCAAGGUCAGGGUUGGUUUUCCUGAGCAAAUGAUAUUUGAUAAAUAAUAUUUCUAAUAAUAGCCUGUGUUUGUAUCAUAAAAUUAUAAGCUGAUUAUUUUAAACAUGAGACCUAUGAACUCUUCAGGGAUCUCAAAAAAGUUUUAAGAUCUGUUAAAAAAAUACGUUGGCUCUAAAAUAUGAAAACUGCAGAACUGAAGUAUUAAAUAGCUAAAAAACAUUAUUUCCUUUCAUAUUCAUAAAAAUGUCAUUAAUUUUUAAAAUAAUUUGUAGAUUAGCUUUUUUCAAUUCAAAGGAAUUCCAGAGAAUGUGUGAUGAUUGAUGAGAAACUAUUGCCAAUUGUAAACUAAGUGACCACCCGAGAGCCCGAUUCUUAAAAUGAGUGACAAAAAGCUGUUCAAAUUUAUAUUUUUUAAAUAUGAAAUUAUAUUUCAUGUGAAAUGGGCUACAUGUUAAUAUAUUUGGUCUUGUGUAGGGUGGAAUAUGGUGCCUACGAAGACCUUAAAAUGGUCUGAUUUUAAGGCCUUGGGAGGCUCAGGGCAGAGGAUCUCAGACGGCACAGAGCAGCAGAUGGCUGUCAGGACCUGAGACUGGGCGGUACAGAUGGGUCCUUAUCAGUCGAUACAGGGUGUCACAAGCAUGGGAGAGAGUAGGCAAUAGGGAACUCACAAGGAAGAAACAUUGCUCUCCCGCAGGUCGAGAGAACAUCUGCAUCCAGAGAAAUCUACUCCUACUUGUCACUCUCCACUGGCCUCCCUUUCGCCAUCACUACAUUUCCAUCACGGUCCCUUUCCACACUCCAUUCUGAUUCUACCUGAGUAAUGAUUUUCAUUUCUGAGUGAGGAUACAAUGAGCUCCAGAGUACUGGUGAGUCCUUGAAUCUUGCAAAUGAAUGGAGUCUGAGGAGUGGCAGAAGAAAAGAUUCCCUGGAUGUGGAGGCCCUUGACAAUCACAGGAAACAAUCACGAGACAAUCACGAGAAACCACACUCAAGAGGCCCUCCUUCUGACACUUAACACCUCACUUCACAGACUGUGGCCUCUCCUAACACGCCAGAAACGUGACACCAAUCAAUAGGUCACAUUCUACUUGCUAUUACCUGCUAAAUCUGACCUUUCCACUCUGUCCUGAUAGGUUCUUCCCACAAUGAUUGCUCUAUAUCUGGAUACUGGUAUUUAAUUAAGAUAAUGAGGACUUAGUCACUACCCUUGCCCUAAAAGUUGGCGUCUUAUUCAGAAAUAGCAAAGCCCAUUCAUUCCACCCAUAAUCACCUCACUAACAACUAACAAGCUCACUUUGCCAUGCACCACACUACAUUUCCCCUCUGCAAGUAAUGCUCGAAAAAUCUCUCUUCUGCUAAUUCCCCCAAAGCAUCGCCCGUUAUUUUAAAUCCUGUUGUAUUAACACAUUUAACUAUGUUCAGAUGUACAAAAUAACUAUAAAUAAAUACAGCACCAAAAGAAAAUCUUCAUUGAUUGCUAAAUGGAUAGGUUGUGAAUACAGCUUAGAAAAAAUUAUUACUGUGAAUAAGCAAAAAGGAUGUUUUAAUAGAGGUUGUUACCAAGACUUAUAGCAUCUUUAUCUCUAACUAGCUAAAAGACAUUAAUAUAAGCCAUUAUUAUAUUAUAAAACUUGUAUGUUACUCAGUGAAAUUUUUUAACUUUAUGGAGACAAUUUCACAAAGUAACAUUAAAAUGCAGAAUUGAAAAACUAUCAAUUGUUAAGAUAUUCCAAAUUUACUUAGGGAGAAGUUGAAAAUCUAUAGUCAAAGAUGCAUUUUUCCAUAACUUAUUCCUUUUUUUUUUAGAUUUUUAAAAAUUUUUCCUUUUUCUCCCCAAAGCCCUGGUACAUAGUUGUGUAUUUUCAGUUGUGGGUCCUUCCAGUUGUGGCAUGUGGGAUGCCGCCUCAGCAUGGCUUGAUGAGUGGUGCUGUGUCCGCACCCAGAAUUCAAACCGGCAAAACCCUGGGCCACCAAAGCGGAGCACGCGAACUUAACCACUCAGCCACGGGGCCGGCCCCCUAUUCCUCUCUUUUUAAAGUCACAAACAUCACAUUUUCUUUCUUCUCCAGUAGUCUCAUUUCUAGCCUCCAUAAAGCUUGACGAUUUGAAAUUUUGUAUUUUAUAUUAAAUCCCUUGAUGCAUAAACAGAGAAGGCUAGGGCCAAGUGACAACAACUGCAAUGUGCAAUUGUGACUCACGUACUGGAGAAAUCCAUCCAACUCAAGUUGACUCCAACUUGAGAAAUCCAUCAGGUUAGUGCUUGGGUGUAUAGGAAGCCCUGGGGAAGAAUGGGUACAUUAUGAAGCUUUUGGCACACUUGUAAAUUAGUUAGUGAGAGCUAAAGGCAAAUGGGGAUUUUAGCCAGUUGAUGACUGGCCUAUUUUUAAUUUAGAAUUGUAAGCAGAAGGGGCUGUUUAUAAUCAGCCAAAAUCACAAAAGUGAUUAAGAUACGCCCUAGAAAUAAAUCAGGGGUUUUGCAAGUUCCCGAACAGCCCUAUCAAUGUGUGUUUAGUGUACACACUGAUAUUCCAAAUACUCCACUAGAUCAAAAGAUUUCACACAACUCCCAAAGUCUAACCUACUCCCAGAGACUCAGAUAAUGACUACAAUGUUAAGCUCUGGCCCCAAGAAGCACCUUUAGGCUCACCUAGAAAAUCCCACCUAAAAUGCAAUUUAACUUGAGUGUUUUAAGAGAUUACCUGAUGGCGCAUCUUCAUAGCACUGGUGCUACUGAGAAGCCAUAUGGGAGGGGAGGGGAAUCCUAAAGCCCAUCAGAUGAACUUUUCUUGUUUCUUCAUCUCUUCCACAUUAAUUAACUUCCACAGUUUGGGGAUUUGAGGCCCAAAUCUGCACUAUCUGUGGGAAUUCUGGAUAAUCAUUUAAUUUCUGCGGCCUCGGUUUGUUGGUGGGAUUUUUUGUUUUUAAAUCAGAAAAACAAAAGGACAAGAAGAGGGAGUCUCAGCUCAAUGAUCCCUAAACUUCCUUUUCUAGCUCUAAAUAGAUUUUUCUUAUCUUUUCCUUGGGAUUUGCUAAAUAAUACCAGUACAAUGGAGCCCUUUUAGUUGUGCUAAGGUUGCCAACUCUUGCUUUAGAUUUGGGCCUCAAAAUAAAGCAAACCCAAGUGAUUCAAGGUGGUGAUUCAAUAUUUGUACUGCCCGCAGAUAAAUAUGCUCCUCAGUCUCGAAUACGCUAAACAAGACUGCACAAACCUGAUGGCAAAAAUUACUAUCCCUAAGUGCCCUAAAGAUUCCUGACCAGCAGGCAUGGGGCAUAUUCGCUUCUUCAGAAAAGAAAAACUAAACACAAUUUCCUCUAUACACACCCACAUCCAUGCGAGCUGCACUUGGAAAUUCUGCAACGGCAGUAUUUUCAUUUGUAAGCAACCAAAACAUUACAGACCUGUUAGAAUUUACCUGAUUUUCCUCAAUCAAACCAAACCAAAAUACAAAAGGGUUGCCCACAGUGCCAUAAAGGUCCUCAUAAAUAGUUUUAGCCUCAUUAUAAAAGGCUUUUGAAUUCCAUCAAAUUGUGGGAUGCAACAGCCUCAAAUAGGUUCCCCCACACUUAAAAACAAACAGGAUGACUUGCCAACUGUGGCGACAAAGCUGGAACGAGGCAGAGGCUGAGCUGAGGGGCCUCCUGCCCCAUUUUGCCCCACGCAGCCUUCACCCUCCUCUGCACCCCUGGGAGCGGCAGACGGCGUGCCCAAACUCACUCCCUCCCCUAGGACCUUACCUGACAGGUGAGCGUUUUUGCUACUGUCAGAGUGAUCUCCCCCAGAGAAAAGAACAGCUACAAUGACUACUGACUGAUUUGAAAGAAGAGUAACUUUCACCUCAGCUCCUACAUUUCCCGAUGGUUUCCAAAACUGCAGCACAUCACAAUCACCCGGGAAGCUUUUAAAACCCAGAUUCAGGCCCUCCCCUUCUCAAUCAGUUAAAUCAGUUUCCAAAGGUGCAGCCCAGGAAUCUCUAGUUUUAAACUCUCCCUUUGCUUUUUGAUGCAGGAGGCUUGAAAAACAUGCCUCCACCUCAUUUUCUUCCAUCUCUCCUAGUGUGUUCUUGCACAAACUGGUAAGCAAGGUCUCUGAACCACAGAAUGAUCAGUUUUAUGUAUUAACUAAAAGAUCACACCAAGAACUUAGCUGGAUCAGUACAAAGAGGAUAUAGUAAACAGUAAUCUGCAGAAAAUGAUCUCAAGUUCAACUUUUUCCAAGACUUGAACUAAGUAUGUAUGAUUGGGAGACAUAAAUAGAUAAGAUGCAAGAAAUAAAAAGUAUCACUUUCAGAGUAAAAAUUAAGUCUGUAGUCUGGAGAACUUCUUGAGAUUAAUACUGUGAAUUUGAGAGGAUUGCCAUGGCGGGCUGAAUAAAGAGGCCCCUAAGACGUCCACUUCCCAAUGCCCAGAGCCUGCGAGUGUUACUUUAUACGGCAAAGGGACUUUGCGCAUGUGAUUGAGGAUCUUGAGAUGUGGAAAUGAUCCUGGAUUCUGCAGGUGGGCCCAGUGAUGUCAUCACAGUGUCCUCAGAAGAGGGAGGCAAGAGGCAGAGAGCCCUCUGGAGAAGGCCGCGAUGAUGGAGGGAGCAACUGGAAUGAUGCGGCCACGAGCAGCUGAAAGAGGCAAGGAACAGAUUCCCCCUGAGCCUCUAGAGAGAAGCAGGAACCUAAUUUUAGCCCAGUAAAAUGGAGCUUCAGACCUCAAGAACUGGAAGAGAAUAAAUUCAUAUUGUUUUAAGCCACUAAGUCUGUGGUAAUUUACUACAGCAGACAUCGAAAACUAAUACAGUCACUAAUGUGGUAUCACAACAAUCAGAAUCAAAGAUCUGCAUUUGUUUGUAAAAUGACAUUUAAAAAACCAAAAGCACCAAAUAUUUUAAGAGUGGUUUAAAUAUUACCCAAAUCAUGGCAAGAAAAAUUUCUCUCUAUACAUACAUACUUGGUUUUAAAAACACGAUGACAUUUUUUAGGGCAGCUAAGUAGAGGUGUACCCUCAAAAGUCAAAGGAUUUUACUGAAUUAGUGGAAUUGGGUGAAGUGGGUAUCUCAUUUGCUAGUGCAAUAAUGACCAUACCCACUGUUUCCUCAUCUCUGGGGUUCCCUUGUUCCUUUGACUCCCCCCAGUCUACCUCUGACGGGGAGUAGGGGAAAAUAUAGGGACAGAAUCCUGUCCAUCCAUUUGAUUUAGCCUCUUACUUUUAGAACUAGGUAUAAAGCAUUUUUAAAAAAUAAACUAACAUUUUCUUCUAGACACUAAGGAAAAACAAAAACAUUAAAAUCAGCAAAUACAGAGAUGUACAAAAUUCUUUUACAUAAAGCAUAUUCUAUGAGAAUGUUCCUUUGACACCGUCACCAAAAAAGGACAGAGAAAAUCCUAUAAUCUACAACAAACUACAAUUUUUAAAUGAAAAUUUCUAAUUGUUAUAUAAGAUACAGGUGGUUCUCAUGAGGUCUACCCAAAGUGGUUUAGAGCAGAAAUCCAGAUCAGGAUAAAACGCUGAUUUCAUUAAGAAAAUGAAUGAGAAUUUUACUAAUUUUGAAUGUUGGUGCUGUAGCUAAUCCUAGAAUCAAUGAGACACUUAAUUGACAGACUAGCUUCAUGGAUGUAAGUUCAGGACAUCAAGUGUAUUUAUCUUUUGCAAAUAUGGUAUUUGCUUAAUUACAUUAGAUUCCCACACUUGAUAUGAAGCUUUAUGUACUACAAAAAAUGUAAAUAGAAAAACCAAACAAAUGGAGUACUGAAAUUAGAUACCCAGCCCACAUAAAAUAUCCAUGCAUCCCCAAAUGUUAGGAAUGAGGCUCCUAAUUAAAUCUUUCAGAUGAGUAAUCUAACCCUCUAGUGGAUUCUCUUGACAGUUAUCUGGUUGUCUACUGUUAUAUUGUACCCUACACUAAUAAUGCAUCCUGGGCGUGGACCUGCCCGGGGUCAUCAGGCCACACUGUGGUGGCACCCCAUACAAAAUGGAGGAAGAUUAGCACAAGAUGUUAGCUCAGUGACAAUCUUCUUCAAGCAAAAUGAGAAAGACUGGCAGCAGAUGUUAGCUCAGGGCCAAUCUUCCUCACAAAAAAAGAAAACAUUUGGAUUUUUUUGACCAUCUCAAAUAAACUGCUAAAUGAGUACUAAGACAUCCUUAGUGUCUCCUUAGUUAACAAUUAGCUACAUUCAAGAAAUAAGUCAACUACUUUUACUAAAACAUUUGCACAACAUGGAAGAACUACACCAAGACACCUCUAGCACAUUCAAGAAGUAUUCAAAAAGUAAAGUAUAUAAAAUGUAGAAUUUACCUGUGCAAAUAAAAUUACAGGGAGCCUUCAGGUAAAAAGAUGUCAUCAUAUAGAGAGUAGGACAAAGUACCCACAGAAAAAAAUAACUAAUUCUAUUACAAUGAAUUUCACAUCAGUUGGUAAACAUGUUUAAAAUUGUAACACAGUCCUUGCUAAGAAUGCAAUCUUGGAUUUUAAAUUUUAUUCUGAUAUCAAAAAAAUGUUAACUCAUUAAGAAUUUAACUGAGAAACUGUUCUAGAAAUGCAAAUUUAAUACAAGUCAAAGAAAAUGUACACACACAAAAAAACUAUAUUUACAAGAACAUAAAUUAUUAAAAGUUAGCUACUUUCCCAGAUAUGAUAGGAGAAAAAGAGUGAGUUGACUAUAUGUUCAAAAUAAUUUUAUAGAAAGAAAAUUUUAACUUUUGGAUCUAUAUAGGAUAAUCCAAACAAAAAGUAGAGACUAACUUCCUUCUUGCACAGAACUGAGUCUUCCCUUCUCCUCUUCUGAGAAUGCUGACUUUAGAAAUCAAUAGUUUGCCAGCUCCUUAAUUUUUUUUAAUACCACUUAGGUAUACACAUGUAUAUUUUAAAAAUUCUGUAAACAGUAUUAAGGAAAAACAGUACUGUUUCAUUUAGGUCUUAGUAUGGUGAGCCAACUUGAUGGUACAAUGAGAUGUCAAUACGAAUACAAAAGCAAGACUACUACAAACUAACGUUUUCUUUUGGGGAUUUUUUUUUUAUCAUCAAUUCCAAACACACAGUACAGGUAAGAUGGCAUGAGAAAGAAAAAAAUCAUAUUUAUUUCCCCAUGAACACCAAACCAUGUUAUUCAAAAUGUGUUUCUUAGCCAGAUUACCAAUCCCAGCCACUGCCUUAGUUCAAAUGUUCACUAAGAAAACAGUCAAGCAACAGAAAUCCACUGUGAGACACUGCCUAGGGAGAACAGCUACUUUGCUAUAUAUAAUUUAUUAACUUAGUAGUUUAGUCUCUCAAUAUUCAGCAAGUCUGUGUAAAAAUUACUUUUCUCACUGGUUUAUAGUGACAUUAACAUAAAUGCCUAAUUUUAAAGUCAACAUUCCUUUCAUUGUGAACAUAAAGCUUCUUAAAAGAUAAUCACGAGUUGGGGCAAAGUAAUGACUGGCUGCUGGAACAGCAGUGUUCAAAGCCAAAUAUACUGGCAGGCUUGGAAAGGCAGAAAUAUAUAUACACGCUCUCAGUAUGCUACUAUUUCCCACAGUUUUGCUGUACAUACUUGUCUAAUGAUACUGCAUAAAUUAUUUCCUCAAAUUUGAAAAAAAAUCAAGAUGAAUAUAUUUUCAUCUUCAUUUCAAAAUAACCCUUUUCAAUGAAAAAGAAUUUCUCCAUGUUUGUUAACUCUGUUCAAGAGAUGGAUUUAAAUAUUUUUUCACUACCUGUACAAUUUUUUUACCCUAUCUUAGUGCCUCAUUACAACCAGUUUAGCAAUAAGACCUCCAGUGCUGUUAAAAAUACCAUUCAAUAGAUUCUAAGAUUGUAAAAUCUGCAGUUGAAUCCUUCUUAAGACACCAAAUGAUAACAAAGUCCAAAAAAUGUAUGACCAUUAAUCAACAUCCUCAGAACCUGGGAAUUAUUGCAAAAAAUCUCACAUGUGCAUAUAAUUUAAACAAACUUUAUGGGAGGGGGUGUAAAAUAAAUACUACACUAUAUUUUUCAACUCUAUUUAAAUGCUGCUUAGAUGGUUAGAUGAAAAGAUUAAUAUUACUAACAGGGAGAGCCAAACUACUUUAAAGACUGUUUUCCAAGUAGUUAGAACAAUUUUGCAAGACAAAGACAAGCAAAAGCCUACGCCAAUACAUUUUUCCCGUAGUGUAAUGUAAUUGUGAAUAUGAGGUAUAAUCUGUAAGCAAUACAAAUAUAAAUAUAAAUAGGUAUAAGCCACCACUACAUCACAGUCUGGUGAAAAGCUUCUCAGCUAAUGUAGUCUGGGGAAGAGUUAAGGAAAAUGAGGAGAAGGGAAGGACAGGGCAGGUUUCCACUGGGAACAUCAUUUACAUGCCUUAUUAUUUAUCACCUUGUAUGUAACAGUCCACUGUUGCAGAAAGGUAAAUCCUUUCCAGGUAUGCUGGUCUAGAAUAUACUUUAUGUAGUACAGUAAAAUUAUUUCAGUAUUACUAAUGCUUCAUAUGCAUUUAUAUUUGGAUAUACACAUAAGCAUAUAUGUAUAUCAAAAACUAUAAACAGAAUUUUAAAACAUUUUUAUCUCAUUUCUGAAAAGUUAACAGUUAAGACUGAACCACGUACUACAGAAUUUUCUAGAAUAUCUAAACUUAGGGGUAAAACCAAAAGAAAACAUUAUUAUUUCUUUAGUAAAUGGUUUGUGCGAAACCUCAAGCUCACUCAUCUUUUUACAGAUGGGUUUAUUUGAUGAGGAUUGUGAU
Equus asinus (donkey) is the source of this 10764-nucleotide long non-coding RNA. Lineage: Eukaryota; Metazoa; Chordata; Mammalia; Perissodactyla; Equidae. The record is from Ensembl.